This 2195-nucleotide long non-coding RNA is filed under the name Triticum aestivum (bread wheat). RNAcentral's name for it is "long non-coding RNA (TAES_LNC025371)". The record is from RNAcentral. Lineage: Eukaryota; Viridiplantae; Streptophyta; Magnoliopsida; Poales; Poaceae.
UGUUUUUUUAUUUUUUGAACAGGUAAAUCCUAGGUUUUAAUAAACUCUGAACUUCUCUGUUAUUUCAAUUUGAACUUCACCUUUUUAUAUUUUUGAGUAAAGAAUUGUAUUCGAUUUUUAUACGGAAAAAAUCGAACAUGGAAAUACAAGGUGAACCUCUCUCGCAAGAAUUUUUGAACUUCUCCGGACAGAGCACUUGAACUUCUAGCAAAAAGUUUUUUGCCUUUGCUUUUUCAUUAUUUUUAAUACAAAAUGCACACCGUGUAGUACGUGAAGUUCUGGUAGUUAUCAAUCUGAACUUCUCUCGGUUACGUGAAAAUAUCUGAGUUUUUUCAAUUUGUUGGUUUAUCAUUUAGUAACGAGGAAAUCAUGGGUUCUUCAUAUACAUUGAACUAUUCUAUUUUUAAAAAGUGAACUUCUUGGUUUUUACAAUUUGGACUUGUUGGUGUUAUUCAUUUGUAACGGAAAAAUGGGGUAAUAUGUAUUUUAUAGAGUUUUUCAAGUGCUCUGUUAUUUUAAUAUGACCUUUGACUUUUUUUUCUAACGUGUAAAGUAUGUUUUUUGUUACAUUUUUUGAGUUUAUCUAUGAUAUAAUUUUAAUUUUUUUGUCAUCGCUUUUCAAUAAUGGGAAAAUCCAUGGGAGAAUUUUUUUGAACACCCAUAACAUUUUCUUUGAACUCUCCAAUUUAUUAAAUUUGAACUUCAAGAGUUAACAAUUUUUCUUUGUUACACUUUGAUUUCUUCCUUGGUAUAACAUCAAACCUCUCUAUUUUUUAAUAUGAACUUCUCAAUUUAAUCUUUAGUGAUGGAGAAAUUUAUAUUUGAAAUGCUUCUUUAUAUUCGCACCCCAAAGAUGUAUAUUUUUUCGAAAGCAAACAUUUUGAACUUUGUGCGGCACAAACUAUGUAUUUCUCGUCCACUAUUUUUUGUGUGUAUCCAUAUAUUUUUUCAAGAGAACAUACAUACUAGGAUUUCUAAUUUAUAUUUUACAGAGAAGCAUUUUGAUCUCUGUCAAGAACAACACAUAGAAGCAAUGUUCAGGCCAAAGUGGUAAUUAACAACCACUAGACACCAACUGUUAACAUAUAUACAUACUGGUGCUCAGUGACCUUCAUGCAAACACAGUGCCCCAUGUGCAUUCCCAUACAUACACAUUGAACCUUUUCAAAGGACAAGGAUAAACUUCCUCGUGCAGACCGGAACAGGAGCACAAAACACAAGCUCCCACAAGGUGAGCGCGCACACACACGAGACACCAGACCCAACAUGCAUGCCCUAGGACAUGAUGCUCUUUUAUUGACUUGGCGUCUUCCUUUUUUUAAUAAACACACGAAGAGAGAACCAACAGCUACUUACAAGUGUGGUUAGAGCAGCAGUGAUGCACAUGAAGAGCGAGCUGGCCAGCAUCCAGCAUGGCAAACAUGCAUCUUGCAAGGCACACAUGAACCAAGCACAACAUACUAGCACCCGCACACACGAGCCCACAGUGUCGCACAACAAUGGUAGAACUUCACGGAACAUCUCCGAAGAACAUGACGUAUAGAUGUAGUGGGACUUCAUGGAACGUCUCCGAAGCCAAGCACAAAUUUGACUGUCAAAAACAAUAGUUAUGCACAAAGUUGAACUGAACUACUAACACCCGAAUUGAAACCAUGAACAAACUUUAACAGAAUUUUCUACCUGUUCCCAGCAGCAGCAGGGGCAAGCCACGGUGCGAGACACAUAGCUGCGCACACAUAAAAGCAGAGGACGGGAGGGCACACUGGUCCUGUGGCGGCACCAAGCGAAAGUGUGUCACAAUUUCCCAUGUAGCAUCGUAUCUACCACAGCCACCAGUAGACAAGCAAACAAAUUUUAUGAACUAUGUACAAGUAGAACUACCAAAACUAUGUAUUUGUAGUGCCAAAAUGGGUUAAAUCUAUGUUUGUACAUGCAAGCUAUAUACAAAAACUAUUUUUGCAGAAACAUUAGCUAGCUGAUACACACAUGAGGCACUGCACAUAUGGUAUCCUGUCUUUGAAGUGAACAUGAAGUGCAGCCCAUGUGCAACAAGUCAAGGUUCUGCUAUAGGUAGUGGUAGCCUAGUCGUUGAGUAUAUCUGAACCCAUAGUUGCGGUCAUAACUGAACCUUUUAAACAAUUAUACUUGAACGUCUCAGAGAAACAACAAGGAAAACUUCGAUCAGAUGUACUCAC